RNAcentral lists this ribosomal RNA (864 nucleotides) under uncultured bacterium. RNAcentral's name for it is "bacterial SSU rRNA". It matches the Rfam family "Bacterial small subunit ribosomal RNA", at positions 9 to 900 of the family's 1533-position model. The record is from RNAcentral.
GAGUUUGAUCAUGGCUCAGGAUGAACGCUGACAGAAUGCUUAACACAUGCAAGUCUACUUGAUCCUUCGGGUGAAGGUGGCGGACGGGUGAGUAACGCGUAAAGAACUUGCCUUACAGACUGGGACAACAUUUGGAAACGAAUGCUAAUACCGGAUAUUAUGAUUGGGUCGCAUGAUCUGGUUAUGAAAGCUAUAUGCGCUGUGAGAGAGCUUUGCGUCCCAUUAGUUAGUUGGUGAGGUAACGGCUCACCAAGACGAUGAUGGGUAGCCGGCCUGAGAGGGUGAACGGCCACAAGGGGACUGAGACACGGCCCUUACUCCUACGGGAGGCAGCAGUGGGGAAUAUUGGACAAUGGACCAAAAGUCUGAUCCAGCAAUUCUGUGUGCACGAUGAAGUUUUUCGGAAUGUAAAGUGCUUUCAGUUGGGAAGAAGUCAGUGACGGUACCAACAGAAGAAGCGACGGCUAAAUACGUGCCAGCAGCCGCGGUAAUACGUAUGUCGCAAGCGUUAUCCGGAUUUAUUGGGCGUAAAGCGCGUCUAGGCGGCUUAGUAAGUCUGAUGUGAAAAUGCGGGGCUCAACCCCGUAUUGCGUUGGAAACUGCUAAACUAGAGUACUGGAGAGGUAGGCGGAACUACAAGUGUAGAGGUGAAAUUCGUAGAUAUUUGUAGGAAUGCCGAUGGGGAAGCCAGCCUACUGGACAGAUACUGACGCUAAAGCGCGAAAGCGUGGGUAGCAAACAGGAUUAGAUACCCUGGUAGUCCACGCCGUAAACGAUGAUUACUAGGUGUUGGGGGUCGAACCUCAGCGCCCAAGCUAACGCGAUAAGUAAUCCGCCUGGGGAGUACGUACGCAAGUAUGAAAC